Molecule: transfer RNA, 74 nt
Filed under: Stegodyphus mimosarum
Lineage: Eukaryota; Metazoa; Arthropoda; Arachnida; Araneae; Eresidae
Rfam family: tRNA
About the family: Transfer RNA (tRNA) molecules are approximately 80 nucleotides in length.
Source: Rfam by way of RNAcentral
GCUUUCGUCGUGUAAUUGGUCAGCAAACUCGGCGCGUAUACGAGAGGUCCAAGGUUCGAAUCCCGGCGAAGGCA